CUCAGUUACACGGGACCGUACCGUAAUCGGACACACGUGGGCAGGAUGAAAAUUCUAAGGCGCUUGAGAGAACUCAGGAGAAGGAACUCGGCAAAUUGUCACCGUAACUUCGGAAGAAGGUGUGCCCUGGUAGGUUGUAGCCGUACAGGCGAAGGCCGAAGGGGUUGCAAAAAAUCGGUGGCUGCGACUGUUUAAUAAAAACACAGCACUCUGCAAACACGAUGAGUGGACGUAUAGGGCGUGACGCCUGCCCGGUCCGGAAGGUUAAAUGAUGGGGUGCGAGCUCUUGAUUGAAGCCCCGGUAAACGGCGGCCGUAACGAUAACGGUCCUAAGGUAGCGAAAUUCCUUGUCGGGUAAGUUCCGACCUGCACGAAUGGCGUAACGAUGGCCACACUGUCUCCUCCUGAGACUCAGCGAAGUUGAAAUGUUUGUGAUGACGCAAUCUACCCGCGGCUAGACGGAAAGACCCCGUGCACCUUUACUGUAGCUUUGCAUUGGACUGUGAUGGGAUCUGUGUAGGAUAGGUGGGAGGCUUUGAAGUGGGGGCGCUAGCUCUCAUGGAGCCGACGUUGAAAUACCACCCUGAUGUCAUUGCGGUUCUAACCUUGGCCCCUAUAGCGGGGUUGGGGACAGUGCAUGGUAGGCAGUUUGACUGGGGCGGUCUCCUCCCAAAGAGUAACGGAGGAGCUCGAAGGUACGCUAGGUACGGUCGGACAUCGUGCUGAUAGUGCAAUGGCACAAGCGUGCUUGACUGCGAGACUGACAAGUCGAGCAGGUGCGAAAGCAGGACAUAGUGAUCCGGUGGUUCUGAAUGGAAGGGCCAUCGCUCAACGGAUAAAAGGUACGCCGGGGAUAACAGGCUGAUUCCUCCCAAGAGUUCAUAUCGACGGGGGAGUUUGGCACCUCGAUGUCGGCUCAUCACAUCCUGGGGCUGUAGCCGGUCCCAAGGGUAUGGCUGUUCGCCAUUUAAAGUGGUACGUGAGCUGGGUUUAAAACGUCGUGAGACAGUUUGGUCCCUAUCUGCCGUGGGCGUUGGACGUUUGAGGGGGGCUGCUCCUAGUACGAGAGGACCGGAGUGGACGAAUCUCUGGUGUACCGGUUAUCACGCCAGUGGUAUUGCCGGGUAGCUAAAUUCGGAAGAGAUAAGCGCUGAAAGCAUCUAAGCGCGAAACUUGCCUCAAGAUGAGACGUCCCGUGAUGUAAGUCACCUAAAGGGUCGCGGUAGACCACCGCGUUGAUAGGUCGGGUGUGGAAGCGCAGUAAUGCGUUAAGCUAACCGAUACUAAUUGCCCGUGCGACUUGAUCCU
Molecule: ribosomal RNA, 1308 nt
Filed under: metagenome
Description: bacterial LSU rRNA
Rfam family: Bacterial large subunit ribosomal RNA
Source: RNAcentral